Molecule: long non-coding RNA, 389 nt
Organism: Sarcophilus harrisii (Tasmanian devil)
Lineage: Eukaryota; Metazoa; Chordata; Mammalia; Dasyuromorphia; Dasyuridae
Exons: 3
Source: RefSeq, a predicted model, not a curated record
AACAAACCUUUUUUGGUGAGACUGCAGAUUUUCUUUGGCUGCUUCUCCUUGGAUGAGCUUCCCUGUUGGUCCUGUAAUUCCCAGGUUCCAGUCAACAGUUAUCAUGAGGACCUUCCACCUGGUUUUCAUGAUACUUUUUGUGAUCAUCUACAGUACUGACACAGAUUUUAGUUUCCUAAAUCAAAGUCAUGAAUGUGUGCAAAGUGGAGGCAGAUGUCGUAUAAGUAAAUGCAAACCACCAACUGUUUCCUCGGGAAUGUGUAAUUUUGAUGUUGAACAUUGUUGUGUACCACCAGAUGUUGCUAAUAGGAGACGAAAACGUUAUAAAUGGAAAUUUUUGGAUAUGGAAGUAUAAUAAAGCAUAAUAAAAAUAUAAAAAAUCAAAGAAG